UCUAAUACCGGAUACUGAGCACCGCAGGCAUCUGUGGUGUUCGAAAGCUCCGGCGGUGCAGGAUGAGCCCGCGGCCUAUCAGCUUGUUGGUGAGGUAAUGGCUCACCAAGGCGACGACGGG
This 121-nucleotide ribosomal RNA is filed under the name Streptomyces lomondensis. RNAcentral's name for it is "partial 16S rRNA". It matches the Rfam family "Bacterial small subunit ribosomal RNA", at positions 162 to 283 of the family's 1533-position model. The record is from RNAcentral. Lineage: Bacteria; Bacillati; Actinomycetota; Actinomycetes; Kitasatosporales; Streptomycetaceae.